This 459-nucleotide ribosomal RNA is filed under the name uncultured bacterium. RNAcentral's name for it is "partial 16S ribosomal RNA". It matches the Rfam family "Bacterial small subunit ribosomal RNA", at positions 338 to 795 of the family's 1533-position model. The record is from RNAcentral.
CCUACGGGUGGCCGCAGUGAGGAAUAUUGGUCAAUGGCCGGAAGGCUGAACCAGCCAAGCCGCGUGAAGGACGAAGGUGCCAAGCAUUGUACACUUCUUUUGUCAAGGGACAAAAUCAGGCUCGAGAGCCUGACCGAGGGUACUUGAAGAAAAAGAAUCGGCCAACUCCGUGCAAGCAGCCGCGGUAAUACGGGGGAUGCGAGCGUUAUCCGGAUUUAUUGGGUUAAAGGGGGGCGUAGGCGGGCUGUUAAGUCAGCGGGAAAAGCCCGGGGCUCAACCCCGGCGAGCCGUUGAAACUGGCUGGCUUGAGAUGUCGAGAGGUAUGCGGAAUGCGCAGUGUAGCGGUGAAAUGCUUAGAUAUUGCGCAGAACUCCGAUUGCGAAGGCAGCAUACCGGCGGCGAUCUGACGCUGAGGCACGAAAGCGUGGGUAUCGAACAGGAUUAGAUACCCUUGUAGUC